UUCGAUUCCCUGGUGUUGCGCUUUUCUGAAUUUCACUUGAUUUCUCAUUUCCCUGGCCUGCGCGUGUUCGAUUCCUGGCUUGCGCGUUUUUGAAUUUCAUUUGUUUUCUCCUGUCCAUGCGCGUGUUCGAAUCCUGGCUCAUGCGUUUGCUGAUUUUUAUUCAAAUCUUUUCUUUCCCUCCAUUAUUUCAUAUUAUUUCAUUUUUAUUUUGUUCAAUUUUAAAAAUCAUUAAAAAUUG
This 238-nucleotide long non-coding RNA is filed under the name Lathyrus oleraceus (garden pea). RNAcentral describes it as "Pisum sativum (pea) long non-coding RNA (PSAT_LNC039249)". Lineage: Eukaryota; Viridiplantae; Streptophyta; Magnoliopsida; Fabales; Fabaceae. The record is from RNAcentral.